UGAAAGCCUGACGGAGCAAGACCGCGUGGGGGAUGAAGGCUCUUGGGUUGUAAACCCCUUUUCUCAGGGAAGAAGAACUGACGGUACCUGAGGAAUAAGCAUCGGCUAACUCCGUGCCAGCAGCCGCGGUAAGACGGAGGAUGCGAGCGUUAUCCGGAAUUAUUGGGCGUAAAGCGUUCGUAGGUGGCUGUUCAAGUCUGCCGUUAAAGACCGGGACUUAACUCCGGAAAAACUGUGGAAACUGGGGAACUUGAGUAUGGCAGGGGUAAGGGGAAUUCCUGGUGUCGCGGUGAAAUGCGUAGAUAUCAGGAAGAACACCGGUGGCGAAGGCGCCUUACUGGGCCAUUACUGACGCUGAUGGACGAAAGCU
This 370-nucleotide ribosomal RNA is filed under the name uncultured cyanobacterium. RNAcentral describes it as "bacterial SSU rRNA". It matches the Rfam family "Bacterial small subunit ribosomal RNA", at positions 376 to 761 of the family's 1533-position model. The record is from RNAcentral. Lineage: Bacteria; Bacillati; Cyanobacteriota.